RNAcentral lists this ribosomal RNA (403 nucleotides) under uncultured bacterium. RNAcentral's name for it is "partial 16S ribosomal RNA". It matches the Rfam family "Bacterial small subunit ribosomal RNA", at positions 30 to 526 of the family's 1533-position model. The record is from RNAcentral.
AUUGAACGCUGGCGGCAGGCCUAACACAUGCAAGUCGAGCGAGCGGCGGACGGGUGAGUAAUGUAUGGGGACUGCCCGAUAGAGGGGGAUAACUACUGGAAACGGUAGCUAAUACCGCAUACUAUCGGAUAACCCAUAUGGGAUUAGCUAGUAGGUGAGGUAAUGGCUCACCUAGGCGACGAUCCCUAGCUGGUCUGCGAGGAUGAUCAGCCACACUGGGACUGAUACACGGCCCAGACUCCUACGGAGGCAGCAGUGGGGAAUAUUGGCCAAUGGGCGAAAGCCUGAUCGAGCCAUGCCGCGUGAAGGAAGAAGGCCUUCGGGUUGUAAAGUACUUUCGGUAGAGAAGCGGUAUCGAAAGAAGAAGCACCGGCUAACUCCGUGCCAGCAGCCGCGGUAAUAC